AGCCAUUUGAAGAUAUUAAUGGUUAGACCUGCCCAAUGUGAAAAUGAAUGGCCGCGGUACUCUGACCGUGCUAAGGUAGCGUAAUCAGUUGGCUUUUAAAUGGAGUCAGGUAUGAAUGGGGUAACUGGGUUCAGCUGUCUCCUUAAUAAUCUCUUGAAUUUACUAUUCAGGUGAAAAAGCCUGAUUUUAAUAAAGGGACGAGAAGACCCUUAGAAUUUUUUAAAUAUUAAAUUAACUAUUUAAUUUUAUUUUGUUGGGGCGACAAAGAAAUAAUUAUGAACUUUCUUUCUACUACAAGCCGAUAUUAUUAAGCAAGAAUAAAUUACCUUAGGGAUAACAGCAUAAUUCUAAAAUUGAGUUUGUGACCUCGAUGUUGGACUAGGAAACUAGUAGACUAGCCGUUUACUAUGUUGGUUCUGUUCGAACUUUUAUUCCUA
Molecule: ribosomal RNA, 437 nt
Filed under: Samla takashigei
Lineage: Eukaryota; Metazoa; Mollusca; Gastropoda; Nudibranchia; Samlidae
Description: partial 16S ribosomal RNA
Rfam family: Bacterial large subunit ribosomal RNA
Source: RNAcentral